This 651-nucleotide ribosomal RNA is filed under the name uncultured soil bacterium. Its description in RNAcentral is "bacterial SSU rRNA". It matches the Rfam family "Bacterial small subunit ribosomal RNA", at positions 31 to 662 of the family's 1533-position model. The record is from RNAcentral.
UCACGCUGGCGGCGUGCCUAACACAUGCAAGUCGAACGCGAAAGUCCCGCAAGGGAUCGGUAGAGUGGCAAACGGGUGAGUAACACGUGGGUGACCUGCCCUCGAGUGGGGGAUAACGUCCCGAAAGGGACGCUAAUACCGCAUGACAUCCUGCCUUUGAACAGGUGGAGAUCAAAGCUGGGGAUCGCAAGACCUAGCGCUUGGAGAGGGGCCCGCGUCCGAUUAGCUAGUUGGUGAGGUAACGGCUCACCAAGGCAACGAUCGGUAGCCGGCCUGAGAGGGCGGACGGCCACACUGGGACUGAGACACGGCCCAGACUCCUACGGGAGGCAGCAGUGGGGAAUUGUUCGCAAUGGGCGCAAGCCUGACGACGCAACGCCGCGUGGAGGAUGAAGAUCUUCGGGUCGUAAACUCCUUUCGAUCGAGACGAACGGCUUCCGGGCUAAUCACCGGGAGAGUGACGGUACCGAGAGAAGAAGCCCCGGCUAACUCCGUGCCAGCAGCCGCGGUAAUACGGGGGGGGCAAGCGUUGUUCGGAAUUACUGGGCGUAAAGGGCUCGUAGGCGGCCAACUAAGUCAGACGUGAGAUCCCUCGGCUUAACCGGGGAACUGCGUCUGAUACUGGAUGGCUUGAGGUUGGGAGAGGGAUGC